RNAcentral lists this ribosomal RNA (495 nucleotides) under uncultured bacterium. RNAcentral's name for it is "partial 16S ribosomal RNA". It matches the Rfam family "Bacterial small subunit ribosomal RNA", at positions 29 to 506 of the family's 1533-position model. The record is from RNAcentral.
AUGAACGCUGGCGGCGUGCCUAAUACAUGCCAGUCGAGCGAACGGACGAGAAGCUUGCUUCUCUGAUGUUAGCGGCGGACGGGUGAGUAACACGUGGAUAACCUACCUAUAAGACUGGGAUAACUUCGGGAAACCGGAGCUAAUACCGGAUAAUAUUUUGAACCGCAUGGUUCAAAAGUGAAAGACGGUCUUGCUGUCACUUAUAGAUGGAUCCGCGCUGCAUUAGCUAGUUGGUAAGGUAACGGCUUACCAAGGCAACGAUGCAUAGCCGACCUGAGAGGGUGAUCGGCCACACUGGAACUGAGACACGGUCCAGACUCCUACGGGAGGCAGCAGUAGGGAAUCUUCCGCAAUGGGCGAAAGCCUGACGGAGCAACGCCGCGUGAGUGAUGAAGGUCUUCGGAUCGUAAAACUCUGUUAUUAGGGAAGAACAUAUGUGUAAGUAACUGUGCACAUCUUGACGGUACCUAAGCAGAAAGCCACGGCUAACUACGU